CCGUCCCGUCCGUCGUAAGUAUCAGAGGAGGAUUCUGUGAUCACUAAGGAGGAUUUUUUGCAGCGAAGCCAUGCUCAGAAGAGCUACUACUCAUCCAACAACUGGUUGUAGUUGGGCGGCAACAGCAUGGAUCAAGACUGGAAGUCAAGUGCAUUGAUC
Molecule: long non-coding RNA, 159 nt
Organism: Thrips palmi
Lineage: Eukaryota; Metazoa; Arthropoda; Insecta; Thysanoptera; Thripidae
Exons: 3
Source: RefSeq, a predicted model, not a curated record